Molecule: ribosomal RNA, 1565 nt
Filed under: Lactiplantibacillus plantarum
Lineage: Bacteria; Bacillati; Bacillota; Bacilli; Lactobacillales; Lactobacillaceae
Description: Lactobacillus plantarum 16S ribosomal RNA
Rfam family: Bacterial small subunit ribosomal RNA
Source: RNAcentral
AUUUGAGAGUUUGAUCCUGGCUCAGGACGAACGCUGGCGGCGUGCCUAAUACAUGCAAGUCGAACGAACUCUGGUAUUGAUUGGUGCUUGCAUCAUGAUUUACAUUUGAGUGAGUGGCGAACUGGUGAGUAACACGUGGGAAACCUGCCCAGAAGCGGGGGAUAACACCUGGAAACAGAUGCUAAUACCGCAUAACAACUUGGACCGCAUGGUCCGAGUUUGAAAGAUGGCUUCGGCUAUCACUUUUGGAUGGUCCCGCGGCGUAUUAGCUAGAUGGUGAGGUAACGGCUCACCAUGGCAAUGAUACGUAGCCGACCUGAGAGGGUAAUCGGCCACAUUGGGACUGAGACACGGCCCAAACUCCUACGGGAGGCAGCAGUAGGGAAUCUUCCACAAUGGACGAAAGUCUGAUGGAGCAACGCCGCGUGAGUGAAGAAGGGUUUCGGCUCGUAAAACUCUGUUGUUAAAGAAGAACAUAUCUGAGAGUAACUGUUCAGGUAUUGACGGUAUUUAACCAGAAAGCCACGGCUAACUACGUGCCAGCAGCCGCGGUAAUACGUAGGUGGCAAGCGUUGUCCGGAUUUAUUGGGCGUAAAGCGAGCGCAGGCGGUUUUUUAAGUCUGAUGUGAAAGCCUUCGGCUCAACCGAAGAAGUGCAUCGGAAACUGGGAAACUUGAGUGCAGAAGAGGACAGUGGAACUCCAUGUGUAGCGGUGAAAUGCGUAGAUAUAUGGAAGAACACCAGUGGCGAAGGCGGCUGUCUGGUCUGUAACUGACGCUGAGGCUCGAAAGUAUGGGUAGCAAACAGGAUUAGAUACCCUGGUAGUCCAUACCGUAAACGAUGAAUGCUAAGUGUUGGAGGGUUUCCGCCCUUCAGUGCUGCAGCUAACGCAUUAAGCAUUCCGCCUGGGGAGUACGGCCGCAAGGCUGAAACUCAAAGGAAUUGACGGGGGCCCGCACAAGCGGUGGAGCAUGUGGUUUAAUUCGAAGCUACGCGAAGAACCUUACCAGGUCUUGACAUACUAUGCAAAUCUAAGAGAUUAGACGUUCCCUUCGGGGACAUGGAUACAGGUGGUGCAUGGUUGUCGUCAGCUCGUGUCGUGAGAUGUUGGGUUAAGUCCCGCAACGAGCGCAACCCUUAUUAUCAGUUGCCAGCAUUAAGUUGGGCACUCUGGUGAGACUGCCGGUGACAAACCGGAGGAAGGUGGGGAUGACGUCAAAUCAUCAUGCCCCUUAUGACCUGGGCUACACACGUGCUACAAUGGAUGGUACAACGAGUUGCGAACUCGCGAGAGUAAGCUAAUCUCUUAAAGCCAUUCUCAGUUCGGAUUGUAGGCUGCAACUCGCCUACAUGAAGUCGGAAUCGCUAGUAAUCGCGGAUCAGCAUGCCGCGGUGAAUACGUUCCCGGGCCUUGUACACACCGCCCGUCACACCAUGAGAGUUUGUAACACCCAAAGUCGGUGGGGUAACCUUUUAGGAACCAGCCGCCUAAGGUGGGACAGAUGAUUAGGGUGAAGUCGUAACAAGGUAGCCGUAGGAGAACCUGCGGCUGGAUCACCUCCUUU